CACCGUGAAAGAGCGUCAUCCUGGAGAUAUGGGAAUAAAGAUUCCCAGCGGAGAUUUUGAUUAGUUGUGAUAUUUUACUACUAACUUCACUAUAAUCUGAAUUACUUUUGCCUUUUACGGGCAUUCACCCCUCUAGUCAACAACAUAAAUAGUGUAGAAAUAGGGCGUUACCUGUCCCUAUAUCCGUGGGGAGUUGAAUAGCGGCGCACGUGUUUUUAUCUCGGAGCAAAAAAUACCUUACAUCAAUCAGGCAGGAUGAAGCUGUCCUUUGGUUCUCUGGUGAUAACUGCCGGCAUCUUCGGUAUGCUCAGUUUUGCGUUCCAGGCGGCAGCGAUUGGGAGCGACUACUGGUACAUUAUUAAGGUGAACAGAACCAACCAGACCAAUACAGAGGUUUUGGAUUCCAAUUCCAGACUAUGGUUAAUUUACGAAGGACAAAAGGUGUUUCACAUUGAACUCCUCCAGCUACUCUGAAACUGCGAUGCACAUGUUGAGUGUCCUGACCCUCUCCGGUGUCAGCCUGUACAUCAGCAACUCCGAGCAGGCACUGGCAGAGACCGAGAGUCUGGUGGGGGCUAAGCGUCUGGCCCAGGUGGUCAGCACUUAAUUCGAGCUGGUCCCUGGGCCUGGCUGUCCUUCUGCCUGGAGGUCCUCACUGGCCUGCUGCUGGCUGCCCACCCCUCCCUCCAGAGCGGCUCACCGGGCCACGGCAUGCCCUCUGUCCUAACCCAAGAGCCAGGCCCUACAGAAGUGUCACAAGAACUGUACC
This is a long non-coding RNA of Oncorhynchus gorbuscha (pink salmon), 769 nucleotides long. RefSeq lists it as uncharacterized. The record is from RefSeq and is a predicted model, not a curated record. The transcript has 3 exons. NCBI's taxonomy places the organism in Eukaryota, Metazoa, Chordata, Actinopteri, Salmoniformes, Salmonidae.